AGCUUGCUCUUUCCGGAAUUGAGUGGCAAACGGGUGAGUAACACGUAAACAACCUGCCUUCAGGAUGGGGACAACAGACGGAAACGACUGCUAAUACCGAAUAAGUUCCAAGAGCCGCAUGGCCCAUGGAAGAAAAGGUGGCCUCUACCUGUAAGCUAUCGCCUGAAGAGGGGUUUGCGUCUGAUUAGCUAGUUGGUGAGGUAACGGCCCACCAAGGCGACGAUCGGUAGCCGGACUGAGAGGUUGAACGGCCACAUUGGGACUGAGACACGGCCCAAACUCC
This 283-nucleotide ribosomal RNA is filed under the name uncultured Dialister sp. RNAcentral's name for it is "partial 16S ribosomal RNA". It matches the Rfam family "Bacterial small subunit ribosomal RNA", at positions 77 to 339 of the family's 1533-position model. Lineage: Bacteria; Bacillati; Bacillota; Negativicutes; Veillonellales; Veillonellaceae. The record is from RNAcentral.